RNAcentral lists this transfer RNA (74 nucleotides) under bacterium. RNAcentral describes it as "tRNA-Ile". It matches the Rfam family "tRNA". Rfam says of the family: Transfer RNA (tRNA) molecules are approximately 80 nucleotides in length. The record is from RNAcentral. RNAcentral also lists the same sequence under 1 other name.
GGGCCCAUAGCUCAGUUGGUCAGAGCGGCGGACUCAUAAUCCGUUGGUCGGAGGUUCAAGUCCUCCUGGGCCCA